This 250-nucleotide ribosomal RNA is filed under the name uncultured bacterium. RNAcentral describes it as "partial 16S ribosomal RNA". It matches the Rfam family "Bacterial small subunit ribosomal RNA", at positions 779 to 1031 of the family's 1533-position model. The record is from RNAcentral.
UAGAUACCCUGGUAGUCCGCACAGUAAACUAUGUACACUAGAUGUUGGGGUAAGACUCAGUGUUGCAAGCAAACGCAAUAAGUGUACCGCCUGGGGAGUAUGCCCGCAAGGGUGAAACUCAAAGGAAUUGACGGGGGCCCACACAAGCGGUGGAGCAUGUGGUUUAAUUCGAUGAUACGCGAGGAACCUUACCUGGGUUUGACAUUGAAAGGAAUGCUAUAGAGAUAUGGUAGCGUAGCAAUACGCCUUU